UGGGGAAUCUUGGACAAUGGGGGCAACCCUGAUCCAGCCAUGCCGCGUGAGUGAUGAAGGCCUUAGGGUCGUAAAGCUCUUUCGCCUGUGAAGAUAAUGACGGUAGCAGGUAAAGAAACCCCGGCUAACUCCGUGCCAGCAGCCGCGGUAAUACGGAGGGGGUUAGCGUUGUUCGGAAUUACUGGGCGUAAAGAGUUCGUAGGCGGACUAGCAAGUUAGAGGUGAAAUCCCAGGGCUCAACCUUGGAACUGCCUUUAAAACUGCUAGUCUAGAGACCGGAAGAGGUUAGGGGAAUACCUAGUGUAGAGGUGAAAUUCGUAGAUAUUAGGUGGAACACCAGUGGCGAAGGCGCCUAACUGGUCCGGUACUGACGCUGAGGAACGAAAGCGUGGGGAGCAAA
RNAcentral lists this ribosomal RNA (400 nucleotides) under uncultured bacterium. RNAcentral describes it as "bacterial SSU rRNA". It matches the Rfam family "Bacterial small subunit ribosomal RNA", at positions 355 to 772 of the family's 1533-position model. The record is from RNAcentral.